RNAcentral lists this ribosomal RNA (271 nucleotides) under uncultured bacterium. Its description in RNAcentral is "partial 16S ribosomal RNA". It matches the Rfam family "Bacterial small subunit ribosomal RNA", at positions 793 to 1055 of the family's 1533-position model. The record is from RNAcentral.
GUCCACGCCGUAAACGAUGAGUGCUAGCUGCUGGACAUGUCUACCAUUUCAGUGGCGUCGCUAACGCAUUAAGCACUCCGCCUGGGAAGUACGGUCGCAAGACUAAAACUCAAAGGAAUUGACGGGGGCCCCGCACAAGCGGUGGAGCAUGUGGUUUAAUUCGAAGCAACGCGAAUAACCUUACCCAGGCUUUACAUCUAAGGAACCCUGCUGAAAGGCGGGGGUGCCUUCGCAAGAAGGAGCCUUAAGACAGGUGCUGCAUGGCUGUCGU